GUGAGUGCUAUGCUGAAGCCUGAUCAAUAGUUUGCGAAUAGUUUAUGCUUUUAUUGUUAAUUCAUUAUGGUGUGCUGUAUCCUUAUGGGGGCUUUAACAAAUGAAUAAGGGGUCAUUCUUUUUGUGAGAUAAACUAACAAGAAAAAGAUAGGUUUUCGGCCCUUAUACUUGUGUCAGACUAAUUAUGGGUAAUGCUUAGUUGAGUUGAGUUGUAUUGAACAAUAAACAGGCUUAGUUGAGUUGAGUUGUAUAUGAAUCUUAAUUUCCUUUAGCUUUUACAUUAUCUAUUCUUCUUUUGUGGCCAUGUGUUUUACUUUUUACCUUUCCCAUUUGAAGAUUACUGUCAGGUGUCAGAUCCUAAUCAGUCACAUAUAUACAUGAGGGGUUUAAUACUAGAGAAAGAAGAUCAAUGCAUGGAAAGGCUUGUCUGAUCGAGUGAUCAAUAUUGACAAUCCUUCAAUGCUUUGUUGAUAAAGUGAUAUUAGCUGGAAGAGUUACCAUAUUCUAAUUCUGCUCCAUGAUGCAAAUGGAUUUUUUUUUCCUUACUAUUUUUUAAUAAGUUCUAUGUUUUUGGUCCUUGUUAUGAAUAAUACUGUCAUUACUACUUAAAGGUUUGUGUUCGUGAACAACUUUGCAGAUAAUUUAAUUGAAGACCUUCCU
RNAcentral lists this unclassified non-coding RNA (660 nucleotides) under Hevea brasiliensis (rubber tree). The record is from RNAcentral. Lineage: Eukaryota; Viridiplantae; Streptophyta; Magnoliopsida; Malpighiales; Euphorbiaceae.